RNAcentral lists this unclassified non-coding RNA (343 nucleotides) under soil metagenome. Its description in RNAcentral is "partial contains 5.8S ribosomal RNA, internal transcribed spacer 2, and large subunit ribosomal RNA". The stretch from base 1 to 119 matches the Rfam family "5.8S ribosomal RNA", at positions 35 to 154 of the family's 154-position model. The record is from RNAcentral.
GAUGAAGAACGUAGCGAAACGCGAAAGGUAAUGCGAAUUGCAGAAUCAGUGAGUCAUCGAAUCUUUGAACGCACAUUGCGCCUCUAGGUAUUCCUGGAGGCACGCCUGUUCGAGCGCCAUUACACACUCCAAGCUCUGCUUGAUGUUGGACGACCCGAGAGAUCGGACGUCUGGAACGUGUGGGCGUCGGGCGUCGGACCACGAGCGUAGCAAGACCAUCAAACAGUCAAGUCGUUCUGUGGAGCCGGCGGUCGACCGCCUCUUUUUACAACUGUAACCACAAGUUUGGCCUCGGAUCAGGCGGGGAUACCCGCUGAACUUAAGCAUAUCAAUAAGCGGAGGA